Molecule: ribosomal RNA, 253 nt
Filed under: uncultured bacterium
Lineage: Bacteria
Description: partial 16S ribosomal RNA
Rfam family: Bacterial small subunit ribosomal RNA
Source: RNAcentral
UACGAACCACACAAACGUUAUUCGGAAUUACUGGGCUUAAAGGGUGCGUAGGCUGCGCAGAAAGUUGGGUGUGAAAUCCCUCGGCUCAACCGAGGAACUGCGUCCAAAACUACUGUGCUCGAGGGAGACAGAGGUGAGCGGAACUUAGGGUGGAGCGGUGAAAUGCGUUGAUAUCCUAAGGAACACCCGUGGCGAAAGCGGCUCACUGGGUCUCUUCUGACGCUGAGGCACGAAAGCUAGGGUAGCGAACGGG